CACCUCUAGCAUAAAAAGUAUUAGAGGCACUGCCUGCCCGGUGACUCUAGUUAAACGGCCGCGGUAUCCUGACCGUGCAAAGGUAGCAUAAUCACUUGUUCCCUAAAUAGGGACCUGUAUGAAUGGCCUCACGAGGGUUUAACUGUCUCUUACUUUUAAUCAGUGAAAUUGACACUCCCGUGAAGAGGCGGGAAUUAAAAAAUAAGACGAGAAGACCCUAUGGAGCUUUAAUUAACUAAUUUACGAAUUAUAAUAAUAAUCUAUAAGAAAUAAACCAAAAUUAAUUAAAUUAGCAAUUUGGGUUGGGGCGACCUCGAGAUAAAGACUAACUCCCGAGAAAAAUUCACUGAGGCCUACAAGCCAAAGUUAUCCAAUCGCAUAUUGAUCCGCUAUGAGCGAUCAACGAAAUAAGUUACCCUAGGGAUAACAGCGCAAUCCUAUUUAAGAGUCCAUAUCGACAAUUAGGGUUUACGACCUCGAUGUUGGAUCAGGACAUCCCAAUGGUGCAGCCGCUAUUAAUGUGUUCGUUUGUUCAACGAUUAAAGUCCU
This 549-nucleotide unclassified non-coding RNA is filed under the name Plecotus austriacus (gray big-eared bat). RNAcentral's name for it is "contains 16S-23S intergenic spacer region". It matches the Rfam family "Bacterial large subunit ribosomal RNA", at positions 1816 to 2597 of the family's 2925-position model. The record is from RNAcentral. Lineage: Eukaryota; Metazoa; Chordata; Mammalia; Chiroptera; Vespertilionidae.